This 344-nucleotide unclassified non-coding RNA is filed under the name Hevea brasiliensis (rubber tree). Lineage: Eukaryota; Viridiplantae; Streptophyta; Magnoliopsida; Malpighiales; Euphorbiaceae. The record is from RNAcentral.
AGAAAAAAUUCAAGAAAUCCUAUCUCCUCAAGAAAGAAUUCAAGAAAUCCAAUUCAAUGGAAUCCUAUCUUCAGCAAGUGGUUCUAAUCACAGGUUGCAGCCAGGGAGGAAUAGGCCACGCGAUGGCUAAGGAGUUUGCAGCCAACAAUUGCCUAGUUGUUGCCACAAGCAGGUCCUUGGACUCCAUGAGAGACCUUGAACAAGACCAUAGAUUCUUUCUGCAAGAACUGGAGGUUUUGUCAGAUGAGAGUGUCCAGCAUGUAAUAUCAACUGUUCUUGAGAAGUAUGGGAGAAUUGAUAUUUUGGUUAACAAUGCUGGGAUUCAAUGCGUGGCCCCUCUUGCU